Molecule: long non-coding RNA, 1392 nt
Organism: Peromyscus californicus insignis
Lineage: Eukaryota; Metazoa; Chordata; Mammalia; Rodentia; Cricetidae
Exons: 3
Source: RefSeq, a predicted model, not a curated record
GCCCCGGCUGCGGGGCUGCCCGCGGCGCCGCCUGAAGGGGCCUUCACGCUGCCUCAAGUUGGACCGGACCUCACAGGCAGGACCCAAAACAACAAUUCCUCUGCAGGAUUCCCUUCGCAAACCAGCCGGUGGGACCCAUGCUGGAAGGCCAGAAAACAAAUGAGAAAAAGAAGGGAUCAGAGAGGAGGACAAUCACCCGCACUUUCCUUUUCCUCCUCAUCCUUAAGGACAAUGCCAAGAGUAUGCCCCUGUAGCUUCUGGAAUGGCGCGGGCCAACCGCCUCACUCUUUGACCGUUAGCAGCACCGCUCUGGGCCAGGGUUCUGCUUCCGAGGUCAUCCCCAGCUUGGGCAGCCUUUGGCCUCCAGUGUCCAGUCGCCUUGACCUCAAACAGGCUGGACAAGCCAGGUUAGGAGAGAAAAACAAGACUUCAAGACUAGAGUAUCUCUUCAAACUGAGGAUUUUAUUAUCAAGACAGCAACUCUUUGGAGCUGGUGAGAUGGCUUAUUGGGUAAAGUGCUUGCUACCAAUCCUGGUUGUCUGAGAGCGAGUCCCGUCCUUGAUGGUGGAAGGAGAGAACUGACUCCUGCAAGUUGCCCUCUGACCUCUGUGUGUCCUCUGCAGUAGGUGCACAUUUACAGCUUUGUCUUUCUGCUUUUAUCUGGAGAGUUUGGGUUGUUGGUUGUUUUGUUUACUCUCUGCUACAUACAUCCCAGCCUUGUUUCGACCUGUAUUUUAACACUUUUAUUUCUGCAGUGUUGGGGUUGAAUCUAGAGCCUCUUGCACACUAAACGAGUGCUCUACCACUGGGCUCUAUCCCCAGCUCUGUUCCCUUUUUGAGCUAGGUUCUCAAUAAGUUGCCCAGGCAGGCAGUGAACCUGCAACCCUGUUUCAGCCUCCCAAGUAGCUAGGAUUACAGACCUAAUUUUUAACCAAUCCUUAGUCUUCAACUCUGAGCUCCUAGAGCAGUGCUUCUCAGUCUUCCUAUGGCUGCUGCGACCCUUUAAUACAGUUCCUCAUGUUGUGCUGACCCCCAACCAGAAAGUUAUUUUUGUUGCUACUUCAUUACUAUAAUUUUGCUACUAUUAUGAAACAUAAUAUAGAUAUUUUUAGAGACAGAGGUUUGCUUAAGGGGUCACGACCCACAGUUUGAGAACUGCUGUCCUGCAGGAGGGAAAGAUUCACCUUUGCAUUCUAAGAACCCAUAGUUUUCACCAUAGGAAAAACUUUAUUUGUUGGUACGGCAUCAGCUUGAAUUCAGAAGCAGAUAUGAGAAUUUAGUAGCGCAUAAAGGAGAUUUAUGAAAUUGUGAAACAAUGUGAAACUUUACUGAUGUCUUAUUUGAGAAAGUAUAUUUUUCAAAAGUGAAUAAAUUUUAAAUAUUUUAAGUCUA